UGCGGUUAAAAAGCUCGUAGUUGGAUUUCUGUUGAGGAUGACCGGUCCGCUCUUUGAGCGCGUAUCUGGUUCAGCCUUGGCAUCCUCUUGGGGAACGCUACUGUGCUUGAUUGCAUGGGGCGGUAUUCAAGACUUUUACUUUGAGGAAAUUAGAGUGUUCACUGCAAGCGUUAGCAAUUGAAUACAUUAGCAUGGAAUAAUAAUAUAGGACCUUGGUACUAUUUUGUUGGUUUCUAGAACUAAGGUAAUGAUUAAUAGGGACAAUUGGGGGCAUUCGUAUUAACGCGUCAGAGGUGGAAUUCUUAGAUUGCGUUACGACGAACUACUGCGAAAGCAUUUGCCAAGGAUGUUUUCAUUGAUCAAGAACGAAAGUAUGGGGAUCGAAGACGCUUAGAUACCGUCGUAGUCUAUACCAUAAACUAUGCCAACUAGAGAUUGGAGGUCGUUCUCUUUAUGACUCCUUCAGCACCUUAUGAGAAAUCAAAGUCUUUGGGUUCCGGGGGGAGUAUGGUCGCAAGGCUGAAACUUAAAGGAAUUGACGGAAGGGCACCACCAGGAGUGGAGCCUGCGGCUUAAUUUGACUCAACACGGGAAAACUUACCAGGUCCAGACAUAGUAAGGAUUGACAGAUUGAUAGCUC
RNAcentral lists this ribosomal RNA (640 nucleotides) under uncultured marine eukaryote. RNAcentral describes it as "SSU rRNA". It matches the Rfam family "Eukaryotic small subunit ribosomal RNA", at positions 614 to 1257 of the family's 1831-position model. The record is from RNAcentral.